UAUGGAAAGUUUAGAUUCUUC
RNAcentral lists this non-coding RNA (21 nucleotides) under Caenorhabditis elegans. The record is from RNAcentral. Lineage: Eukaryota; Metazoa; Nematoda; Chromadorea; Rhabditida; Rhabditidae.